Molecule: ribosomal RNA, 468 nt
Filed under: uncultured bacterium
Lineage: Bacteria
Description: partial 16S ribosomal RNA
Rfam family: Bacterial small subunit ribosomal RNA
Source: RNAcentral
GAUGAACGCUGGCGGCGUGCUUAACACAUGCAAGUCGAACGGAAAGGCCCUGCUCUUGUGGGGUGCUCGAUUGGCGAACGGGUGAGUAACACGUGAGUAACCUGCCCUUGUCUUUGUGGUAACUUCAGGAAACUGGGGCUCAUACCGGAUAGGAUCUCCUGCUGCAUGGUGUGGGUUGGAAAGUUUCGGCGGUUGGGGAUGGACUCGCGGCUUAUCCGCUUGUUGGUGGGGUAGGUGCUUCCCAAGGCUUUGACGGGUAGCCGGCCUGAGAGGGGGACCGGGCACAAUGGGACUGAGAGACGGAGCAGAAGCGUACGUGAGGCAACGGGCGAGAAUCUUACACAAUGGGGGGAAGCCUGUUACAGCGGCGCCGGGAGCGGGAUGCCGGGUUUUGAGUUGAGAACCGCUUUCGACUGUGACGAGGAGUGAGUGACGGUAAUGGGUAAAGAAGCACCGGCUAACUACGUG